UACGUAGGGGGCUAGCGUUGUCCGGAUUCAUUGGGUUUAAAGGGAGCGUAGGCGGACUUAUAAGUCAGUGGUGAAAUCUCCUUGCUUAACAAGGAAACUGCCAUUGAUACUGUAGGUCUUGAGUACAGUUGCCGUUGGCGGAAUAUGACAUGUAGUGGUGAAAUACUUAGAUAUGUCAUAGAACACCGAUUGCGAAGGCAGCUAACGAAGCUGUAACUGACGCUGAGGCUCGAAAGUGCGGGGAUCAAACAGG
This 253-nucleotide ribosomal RNA is filed under the name uncultured bacterium. Its description in RNAcentral is "partial 16S ribosomal RNA". It matches the Rfam family "Bacterial small subunit ribosomal RNA", at positions 524 to 776 of the family's 1533-position model. The record is from RNAcentral.